RNAcentral lists this ribosomal RNA (150 nucleotides) under Bacillus sp. (in: firmicutes). RNAcentral's name for it is "Bacillus sp. (in: Bacteria) partial 16S ribosomal RNA". The record is from RNAcentral. Lineage: Bacteria; Bacillati; Bacillota; Bacilli; Caryophanales; Bacillaceae.
CGCUACGUAAGCGUGCAAGUGUGAGCGGAAGAUGGGAGCUGGAUCCGGGAUGCGUAAGGCGGAAGGGUGAGUAACACGUGGGUAACCUGCCUGUAAGACUGGGAUAACUCCGGGAAACCGGGGCUAAUACCGGAUGGUUGUCUGAACCGC